This 56-nucleotide transfer RNA is filed under the name Blomia tropicalis. Its description in RNAcentral is "tRNA-Asp". The record is from RNAcentral. Lineage: Eukaryota; Metazoa; Arthropoda; Arachnida; Sarcoptiformes; Echimyopodidae.
UAAGCCUUAGUUGAGGGGCCAAUAUAGCUUUGUCGUAGCUAAGACUUUAGGCUUAA